This 153-nucleotide unclassified non-coding RNA is filed under the name uncultured Cephalothecaceae. RNAcentral's name for it is "sequence contains ITS1". The record is from RNAcentral. Lineage: Eukaryota; Fungi; Ascomycota; Sordariomycetes; Sordariales.
CAGAGAGUGAAAACUCCCUUAAAACCACUGUUUAUCUACCUGUUUGUUGCUUCGGCAGGCGGUCCCAGGGGGGGCUGUAGCCUGUGAAGGCGCCUGCCGAAGGCACCCAAACUCUGCUAUAAUUGUCAUCAGAGUCAACUGAAAAAUAAGUAA